Molecule: non-coding RNA, 733 nt
Organism: Lonchura striata (white-rumped munia)
Lineage: Eukaryota; Metazoa; Chordata; Aves; Passeriformes; Estrildidae
Source: RefSeq, a predicted model, not a curated record
GCUGUGCUUCAGUGCUUCUGAACCAUCUCCUGGUUGUCUCACCAAGGUGCAUUGUCCAUUGACUCCUGCUCUUCCUUCCAGAGCCUUCAUUCCACUAAAUCCCAGGAUUCUGCGUGGCAACAUUUGUUCAGACUGGUUUGUGUGCUGUCUUUCCAGUCCCAGCCUGAAACUUGGGUUUGCAGGCAAACAGAACCUCCUCUAUGAGGGCAAGAUUGGGUUUUCUGUAUUUUCUGUUCAGGUGUGGUCCUCUCAUUUCCCUGCUUCCCCACCUCUAAUAGCUGUAGAGUUACAUUUAUGGAGAAGUGGAAUUUCCUUAUCUUGUCUUGGAUUUUUCAUCUCCCCUGAGUGGGUGUACUGGCAGGACCAAUGUUCUGGAUCUCCCUGCAUCCCAACAACCAUUGUUGCCCAGUGUUGCAGAUCUAUUGUUUUGAGCAUUGGAAAAACAGAAUCCAUUCCUAGAAGAAGAUGGAAGAAUUGAAGCUGACAAAGGUUGCUUUGUCUUGGUUCAUUCAAGUGAAGUCCCAGUACAUGAAUUGCUCCAUUUAGAUCCAUGAAAAACUGACAGCAAAGACCAAGGAAGCAAAGUAAACCAAGAGCAUUCUGAGUUUGGUGCCUGUAACUGUCUCCUGGUGGCAACUUUAAGGAAGAUUUGAUUCUUGUGGUCACAGAGAAAGAUGGUCCAGCCACAGGCAUGUAAUAAAUGAUGCUUAAUAAAUUAUUCCAAAAAGCUGCC